Molecule: transfer RNA, 71 nt
Filed under: Lampanyctus macdonaldi (rakery beaconlamp)
Lineage: Eukaryota; Metazoa; Chordata; Actinopteri; Myctophiformes; Myctophidae
Description: tRNA-Gln
Rfam family: tRNA
About the family: Transfer RNA (tRNA) molecules are approximately 80 nucleotides in length. Their secondary structure includes four short double-helical elements and three loops (D, anti-codon, and T loops).
Source: RNAcentral
UAGGAAGUGGUGUAGUGGAGGCACAAAGAGUUUUGAUCUCUUAAGGAGAGGUUCAAGUCCUCUUUUUCUAA